Molecule: unclassified non-coding RNA, 326 nt
Filed under: soil metagenome
Description: partial contains 5.8S ribosomal RNA, internal transcribed spacer 2, and large subunit ribosomal RNA
Rfam family: 5.8S ribosomal RNA (bases 1-120)
Source: RNAcentral
GAUGAAGAACGCAGCGAAAUGCGAUAAGUAAUGUGAAUUGCAGAAUUCAGUGAAUCAUCGAAUCUUUGAACGCACAUUGCGCCCCUUGGUAUUCCGAGGGGCAUGCCUAUUCGAGCGUCAUUAUCACCCCUCAAGCCUAGCUUGGUGUUGGGGCUUGCUGUAAAGGCAGCCUCUAAAAUCAGUGGCAGUGCUGUCAGGCUCUAAGCGUAGUAAAUUCAUCGCUAUAGGGUCCUGGUGGAUACUCGUCAAAACCCCCCAAUUUUAAUGAUUGACCUCGGAUUAGGUAGGGAUACCCGCUUAACUUAAGCAUAUCAAUAAGCGGAGGA